GACGAACGCUGGCGGCGUGCUUAACACAUGCAAGUCGAACGGAAAGGCCCUGCUUUUGUGGGGUGCUCGAGUGGCGAACGGGUGAGUAACACGUGAGUAACCUGCCCUUGACUUUGGGAUAACUUCAGGAAACUGGGGCUAAUACCGGAUAGGAGCUCCUGCUGCAUGGUGGGGGUUGGAAAGUUUCGGAGGUUGGGGAUGGACUCGCGGCUUAUCAGCUUGUUGGUGGGGUAGUGGCUUACCAAGGCUUUGACGGGUAGCCGGCCUGAGAGGGUGACCGGCCACAUUGGGACUGAGAUACGGCCCAGACUCCUACGGGAGGCAGCAGUGGGGAAUAUUGCACAAUGGGCGGAAGCCUGAUGCAGCAACGCCGCGUGCGGGAUGACGGCCUUCGGGUUGUAAACCGCUUUCGCCUGUGACGAAGCGUGAGUGACGGUAAUGGGUAAAGAAGCACCGGCUAACUACGUG
RNAcentral lists this ribosomal RNA (468 nucleotides) under uncultured bacterium. RNAcentral describes it as "partial 16S ribosomal RNA". It matches the Rfam family "Bacterial small subunit ribosomal RNA", at positions 28 to 507 of the family's 1533-position model. The record is from RNAcentral.